GACGAACGCUGGCGGCGUGCCUAAUACAUGCAAGUGGGACGCAAGGGAACACACUGUGCUUGCACACCGUGUUUUCUUGAGUCGCGAACGGGUGAGUAACGCGUAGGUAACCUGCCUAUUAGCGGGGGAUAACUAUUGGAAACGAUAGCUAAUACCGCAUAAUAUUAAUUAUUGCAUGAUAAUUGAUUGAAAGAUGCAAGCGCAUCACUAGUAGAUGGACCUGCGUUGUAUUAGCUAGUUGGUAAGGUAAGAGCUUACCAAGGCGACGAUACAUAGCCGACCUGAGAGGGUGAUCGGCCACACUGGGACUGAGACACGGCCCAGACUCCUACGGGAGGCAGCAGUAGGGAAUCUUUGGCAAUGGACGAAAGUCUGACCGAGCAACGCCGCGUGAGUGAAGAAGGUUUUCGGAUCGUAAAGCUCUGUUGUAAGUCAAGAACGUGUGUGAGAGUGGAAAGUUCACACAGGACGUAGCUACCAGAAAGGCG
RNAcentral lists this ribosomal RNA (488 nucleotides) under Streptococcus mutans. RNAcentral describes it as "bacterial SSU rRNA". It matches the Rfam family "Bacterial small subunit ribosomal RNA", at positions 28 to 493 of the family's 1533-position model. Lineage: Bacteria; Bacillati; Bacillota; Bacilli; Lactobacillales; Streptococcaceae. The record is from RNAcentral.